UAUCUUCAGGGCAGGGUGCAAUUCCCUACCGGCGGUUACAGCCCGCGAGCUUUUGAUAAGCAUGACUUGGUGAGAUUCCAAGGCCGACAGUACAGUCUGGAUGGAAGAAGAUU
Molecule: non-coding RNA, 113 nt
Filed under: Anaerostipes hadrus
Lineage: Bacteria; Bacillati; Bacillota; Clostridia; Lachnospirales; Lachnospiraceae
Also listed under: 1 other name
Description: FMN riboswitch (RFN element)
Rfam family: FMN riboswitch aptamer (RFN element)
About the family: The RFN element is a highly conserved domain that is found frequently in the 5'-untranslated regions of prokaryotic mRNAs that encode for flavin mononucleotide (FMN) biosynthesis and transport proteins. This element is a metabolite-dependent riboswitch that directly binds FMN in the absence of proteins. In Bacillus subtilis, the riboswitch most likely controls gene expression by causing premature transcription termination within the 5' untranslated region of the ribDEAHT operon and precluding access to the ribosome-binding site of ypaA mRNA.
Source: RNAcentral